AAAGGGAGACCUAAUUCGGGUAUAAGACGAAAAAAUAGUAGUCGAAACCAAGAAUCAAUCCCAAAAGGUCGGAGCGAGGCGAAAUUGGCUUUCAAACUAGGUUCUGGGUUCACAGAAGACCUGAAUCAGGAACAAGGGCUAUUAGCUUAGGUGGUUAGAGCGCACCCCUGAUAAGGGUGAGGUCCCUGGUUCGAGUCCAGGAUGGCCCACCUGCACAGGUGGUAAAAACAAGAGAAGCGAGGAAUCAGCACCUUAUCUUACUUACAUAGUAAGAGAGAAUGCUGGCUCUGAGUAAAGAGUCCAGAGGAACCUUGAAAACUGCAUAGAGCUAGGUGAAAAAGCCAAAAAAGAAGACCGCAAG
RNAcentral lists this transfer RNA (361 nucleotides) under uncultured Microcystis sp. Its description in RNAcentral is "partial 16S-23S ribosomal RNA intergenic spacer". The stretch from base 136 to 209 matches the Rfam family "tRNA". Lineage: Bacteria; Bacillati; Cyanobacteriota; Cyanophyceae; Chroococcales; Microcystaceae. The record is from RNAcentral.